AUGGAUGAUGAAAAAGUAGAAUUGGUGCUUGCUAAAAGUAAAGAAGACAUACUUGAAGCACGCAAUUACGUCCAUGGCCAGCCAUUUCUUGUUGGUGAAUACUUUGAUGAGUGCAGUUCCAGCUGCCGCAAGUUACAUGAAUAUUGCAUGGAUCAAAUAUCACCAGGCCAUCAUGGUUUGCUAGUCCACUUCAACAGAGAUCAUUUCCGACACGAUGCUGGUUCAUUCGAUGUGAGUUUCGAGGACUUACAUCUCUUCUUCAACUUCAACGAGCUUGAUGCCACUCUAGUUAGAUGCCUGAUUUUGUAA
Molecule: ribosomal RNA, 309 nt
Filed under: Triticum aestivum (bread wheat)
Lineage: Eukaryota; Viridiplantae; Streptophyta; Magnoliopsida; Poales; Poaceae
Description: partial small subunit ribosomal RNA
Source: RNAcentral